CUAAGUUACUAAGGGCGUACGGUGGAUGCCUUGGCACUGGCAGGCGAUGAAGGACGUGGCUACCUGCGAUAAGCCCCGGUAAGAUGGUAACAAUCUUGGACCCGGGGAUUUCCGAAUCGGGCAACCGAAUACAGGUAAUGCUGUAUUACAAAGUGCGAACGGAGGGAACUGAAAUAUCUAAGUACCUCCAGGAAUAGAAAACAAAAGUGAUUUCCCAAGUAGCGACGAGCGAAACGGAAACAGCCUAAACCUUCUGACGUGUUAAAGAAUGCAAUCGUUGCGUCAGGGGUGUCACGGGACUUUUAGCCGGAUUUGCAUUACGGCAAAGAGUUACAAAUCUUAAGGAUAACAGAAUCUUCUGGAAAGUUGAACCACAGAAAGUGAAAGUCUUGUAUGUGAAAUCUUUAAGACUCUUGAAAGUAUCCCAAGUACUGCGGAGCACGUGAAAUUCUGCAGGAAUUCGUCGGAACCAUCCGAUAAGGCUAAAUACUCGCCAGUGACCGAUAGUGAACAAGUACUGUGAAGGAAAGGUGAAAAGUACUCCUAACAGGAGAGUGAAAUAGUACCUGAAACCGUAUGCCUACAAACGGUAGUAGUCUUGUAAGGGAUUCGUCCCUUAUGAAGAUGACUGCGUGCCUUUUGCUUAAUGAUCCAACGAGUUACUCGUAUGUUGUCGGGUAAGAUUUUAAGAAUCGUACCCUAAGCGAAAGCGAGUCCUAAUAGGGCGACAAAUGAUAACAUGCGGUAGACGCGAAACUGUGUGAUCUACCCUUGACCAGGAUGAAGUACCGGUAAAACGGUAUGGAGGUCCGAACCAGUGUGGGUUGAAAACCGCUUGGAUGAGUUGAGGGUAGGAGCGAAAGACCAAUCAAACUCAGAAAUAGCUCGUACUCCCCGAAAUAGCUUUAGGGCUAGCCUCGGAUAAGAGUAUGCAGGAGGUAGAGCACUAAUUGGGCUAGGGCUGUCACAACGGUACCAAACCCAGAUAAACUCCGAAUUCCUGUCAUAUGUUCUCCGGGAGUCAGGCAGUGGGGGAUAAGCUUCAUUGCCAAAAGGGAAAUAACCCAGACCACCUCUUAAGGCCCCCAAGUCUAUGUUAACAGACUAAGGAUGUUGAGUUGCUCAGACAACUAGGAUGUUGGCUUAGAAGCAGCCAUUCAUUUAAAGAGUGCGUAAUAGCUCACUAGUCAAGCGACUCAGCGCCGAUAAUAAUCGGGACUAAACAUAGCGCCGAAAUAGUGGUACCGCUUUGCGGUAGGUAGGGGAGCAUUCUGUAUGCGACUGAAGGUUAGGCGUGAGCCCGGCUGGAGCGUACAGAAAAGAAAAUGUUGGAAUGAGUAACGAUAAUGAAGAUGAAAAUUCUUCACACCGAAAGUCUAAGGUUUCCUGAGCAAUGUUCAUCAUCUCAGGGUUAGUCGGUCCCUAAGCUGAGGCCAAACGGCGUAGGUAAUGGGAAACAGGUUAAAUAUUCCUGUACCAUCGACAUUUAAGCAAGAAUGACGCAGGAGUGAAAGGGAAGCCACCUGUUGGAUUAGGUGGUCUAAGGUCGUAGGGAAACCGAAAGCCGAACGGGAUGGCGCAAGCCUACAAACUUCCCCUAAUCAGGCUGCCAAGAAAAGUUCUUGUGUAUACUAAGAUGACCGUACCGCAAACCGACACAGGUAGACGAGAUGAGUAUUCUAAGGUGCUCGUGUGAGCCGUGGUCAAGGAACUCGGCAAAUUAACCCCGUAACUUCGGGAUAAGGGGUGCCUCGUGAGAGGCCGCAGAGAAAUGGACCAAGCGACUGUUUAACAAAAACACAUGUCUAUGCAAAUCCUUUAAGGAGAAGUAUAUGGACUGACACCUGCCCGGUGCUGGAAGGUUAAGAGGAGAGGUUAGCGUAAGCGAAGCUUUGAAUCGAAGCCCCAGUAAACGGCGGCCGUAACUAUAACGGUCCUAAGGUAGCGAAAUUCCUUGUCGGGUAAGUUCCGACCUGCACGAAUGGUGUAACGAUUUGGUCUCUGUCUCGACCACGGGCUCGGUGAAAUUGUGGUACCGGUGAAGACGCCGGUUACCUGCAUAUGGACGAAAAGACCCCGUGCACCUUUACUGCACCUUAGCACUGGGUCUGGACAAAACAUGUGUAGAAUAGGUGGGAGACUUUGAAGCGGGUACGCUAGUAUCCGUGGAGUCGUAAUGUGAAAUACCACCCUUGUUUUGUUCGGAUUCUAACCCAGGUUUGUGGAAAACCGGGGACACUGCUAGGCGGGUAGUUUGACUGGGGCGGUCGCCUCCUAAAAAGUAACGGAGGCUUACAAAGGUACCCUCAGCAUGGUUGGUAAUCAUGCGUAGAGUGCAUAGGCAUAAGGGUGCUUAACUGCGAGACUUACAAGUCGAGCAGAUGCGAAAGCAGGUCUAAGUGAUCCGACGGUUGUGUGUGGAAACGCCGUCGCUCAAAGGAUAAAAGGUACGCCGGGGAUAACAGGCUGAUCUCCCCCAAGAGUUCACAUCGACGGGGAGGUUUGGCACCUCGAUGUCGGCUCAUCGCAUCCUGGGGCUGGAGAAGGUCCCAAGGGUUUGGCUGUUCGCCAAUUAAAGCGGUACGUGAGCUGGGUUCAGAACGUCGUGAGACAGUUCGGUCUCUAUCCUAUGCAGGCGCAGGACAAUUGAGAAGGCUCGCUCUUAGUACGAGAGGACCGGAGUGAACUGACCAAUGGUGUACCAGUUGUCACGCCAGUGGCACCGCUGGGUAGCUAUGUCGGGUUGAGAUAAGUGCUGAAAGCAUCUAAGCACGAAACUCGCUUCAAGAUUAAUUGUCCCUUCUUCGGAAAUAAGACUCCAGAAAGAUGAUCUGGUUGAUAGGCUACAGGUGUAAGCAUAGUAAUAUGUUCAGCCAAGUAGUACUAAUAAGUCGAAUGACUUGCCAUU
RNAcentral lists this ribosomal RNA (2908 nucleotides) under bioreactor sludge metagenome. Its description in RNAcentral is "bacterial LSU rRNA". It matches the Rfam family "Bacterial large subunit ribosomal RNA". The record is from RNAcentral.